GCACUACAGCAAACUCUGCCCAGCUUGGUUGGUGCUGGGUCAGGGUCAAUAUGGUGCCAGAGUAACUCGGAGUGUAUCCAGAUGAGCCUGUCUAUCCUGCGGAGCUUGUCCCUACAACCUCUGAUACAUGA
Small nucleolar RNA from Trichomycterus rosablanca, 131 nucleotides. RefSeq annotates it as small nucleolar RNA SNORA55. The transcript has a single exon. The record is from RefSeq and is a predicted model, not a curated record. Lineage: Eukaryota; Metazoa; Chordata; Actinopteri; Siluriformes; Trichomycteridae.